Molecule: ribosomal RNA, 331 nt
Filed under: uncultured bacterium
Lineage: Bacteria
Description: bacterial SSU rRNA
Rfam family: Bacterial small subunit ribosomal RNA
Source: RNAcentral
UCCGUAGGCGGUGUGGUAAGUCGAUAGUGAAAUCUCUGGGCUUAACCCAGAGGCUGCUAACGAAACUGCCAUGCUCGAGUGUGAGAGAGGCGAGUGGAAUUACGGGUGUAGCGGUGAAAUGCGUAGAUAUCCGUAGGAACAUCCGAGGCGAAAGCGGCUCGCUGGAUCACAACUGACGCUGAGGGACGAAAGCUAGGGGAGCAAACAGGAUUAGAUACCCUGGUAGUCCCUAGCCCUAAACCAUCAGGACUUGGGGUUUGCCCUGUACGGGGCAAGUCCCGUAGCUAACGCGUUAAGUCCUGCGCCUGGGGAGUACGGUCGCAAGGCUGAA